Molecule: transfer RNA, 75 nt
Filed under: Patescibacteria group bacterium
Lineage: Bacteria
Also listed under: 1 other name
Description: tRNA-Arg
Rfam family: tRNA
About the family: Transfer RNA (tRNA) molecules are approximately 80 nucleotides in length.
Source: RNAcentral
GCCCUCGUAGUUCAACGGAUAGAACAAAGGACUCCUAAGCCUUAGAUGCAGGUUCGACUCCUGCCGAGGGCACCA